UUGAACGCUGGCGGCAUGCCUUACACCUGCCAGUCGCACGGCAGCACGGGUGCUUGCACCUGGUGGCGAGUGGCGAACGGGUGAGUAAUACAUCGGAACAUGUCCUGUAGUGGGGGAUAGCCCGGCGAAAGCCGGAUUAAUACCGCAUACGAUCUACGGAUGAAAGCGGGGGACCUUCGGGCCUCGCGCUAUAGGGUUGGCCGAUGGCUGAUUAGCUAGUUGGUGGGGUAAAGGCCUACCAAGGCGACGAUCAGUAGCUGGUCUGAGAGGACGACCAGCCACACUGGGACUGAGACACGGCCCAGACUCCUACGGGAGGCAGCAGUGGGGAAUUUUGGACAAUGGGCGAAAGCCUGAUCCAGCAAUGCCGCGUGUGUGAAGUAGGCCUUCGGGUUGUAAAGCACUUUUGUCCGGAAAGAAAUCCUUGGCCCUAAUACGGUCGGGGGAUGACGGUACCGGAAGAAUAAGCACCGGCUAACUACGUG
This 485-nucleotide ribosomal RNA is filed under the name uncultured bacterium. Its description in RNAcentral is "partial 16S ribosomal RNA". It matches the Rfam family "Bacterial small subunit ribosomal RNA", at positions 30 to 507 of the family's 1533-position model. The record is from RNAcentral.